CAUGCGAGUUAUGGGUUCUUUGUGAACCCGGCAAACUGCUCAGUAACACGUGGACAACCUGCCCUUGGGACUAGGAUAACCCCGGGAAACUGGGGAUAAUACUAGAUAGGUCACAGAAGCUGGAAUGCUCUGUGACUGAAAUGCUUUCGCGCCCAAGGAUGGGUCUGCGGUCGAUUAGGUAGUUGCUAGGGUAACGACCUGGCAAGCCUAUAAUCGGUACGGGCUCUGAGAGGAGGAGCCUGGAGACGGAUUCUGAGACACGAAUCCGGGCCCUACGGGGCGCAGCAGGCGCGAAAUCUUUACAAUGUGCGAAAGCACGAUAAGGGGAUCCCAAGUGCCAGCGCACUGCGUUGGCUGUUCUCUACCCUAAAAAGCUAGAGGUAGUAAGGACCGGGCAAGACCGGUGCCAGCCGCCGCGGUAACACCGGCGGUCCAAGUGGUGGCCACUUUUAUUGGGCCUAAAGCGUCCGUAGCCGGCCAGGUAAGUCCCUUGUAAAAUCUGGUGGCUUAACCAUCAGGCCAUCAAGGGAAACUGCUUGGCUUGGAACCGGGAGAGGCCUCGGGUAUCCUAGGGGUAGGGGCGAAAUCCUGUAAUCCCUAGGAGACCACCUGUGGCUAAAGCUCGAGGCUAGAACGGGUUCGACGGUGGGGGACGAAAGCCAGGGGCACAAACCGGAUUAGAUACCCGGGUAGUCCUGGCUGUCAACGAUGCCCGCUAGGUGUAGGCCGUAGCACGUCUGCGGCCUGUGCCCUAGUGAAGACGUUAAGCGGGCCGCCUGGGAAGUACGUCCGCAAGGAUGAAACUUAAAGGAAUUGGC
RNAcentral lists this ribosomal RNA (818 nucleotides) under uncultured archaeon. RNAcentral's name for it is "bacterial SSU rRNA". It matches the Rfam family "Archaeal small subunit ribosomal RNA", at positions 50 to 869 of the family's 1478-position model. The record is from RNAcentral.